Molecule: ribosomal RNA, 468 nt
Filed under: uncultured bacterium
Lineage: Bacteria
Description: partial 16S ribosomal RNA
Rfam family: Bacterial small subunit ribosomal RNA
Source: RNAcentral
GACGAACGCUGGCGGCGUGCUUAACACAUGCAAGUCGAACGGAAAGGCCCUGCUUUUGUGGGGUGCUCGAGUGGCGAACGGGUGAGUAACACGUGAGUAACCUGCCCUUGACUUUGGGAUAACUUCAGGAAACUGGGGCUAAUACCGGAUAGGAGCUCCUGCUGCAUGGUGGGGGUUGGAAAGUUUCGGCGGUUGGGGAUGGACUCGCGGCUUAUCAGCUUGUUGGUGGGGUAGUGGCUUACCAAGGCUUUGACGGGUAGCCGGCCUGAGAGGGUGACCGGCCACAUUGGGACUGAGAUACGGCCCAGACUCCUACGGGGGGCAGCAGUGGGGAAUAUUGCACAAUGGGCGGAAGCGUGAUGCAGCAACGCCGCGUGCGGGAUAACGGCCUGCGGUUUGUAAACCGCUUUCGCCUGUGACGAAGCGUGAGUGACGGUAAUGGGUAAAGAAGCACCGGCUAACUACGUG